UUGAAUUUUUUUAUUGUGAUUAAAAAAGUUUUUGGCUAAAUUAUUUUUUUAGAUUCUUUUUUAAAGAAGAAAAANUAUAAACUCAAAUUGGUCUUUUACAAANUUNAAAAUUUAUAAUAUUUCAAUUUUUAAUUUUUAGUUUUAAAUAAAAAUUACAAAUAUGAAAAAUAAAAAAAUUUUGUUAUAAAUUAAAUUAAUUUAUUUAUAUUAAAAAUAUUUUUUAUAAUUUUUAUUUUUUUAUUUUUUUAAAAAAAAAAUAAUUUAAUUAUAAUUAUUUAUUUAAAUUUAAUAAUUAAAUAUAAAAUUUUUUAUUAAAUAAAUUUAAUAAUAAAUGUUUUUUAAAUUCUUUGAGGUUUUGAUUUUUGAUUUUUUGUUUCUGCUCAUUGUUAAAGAAAAGCACUUUUAGCGUGAUUGGUCAAAGGUAGCGAGGUAAUUUGUUUUUUUAUUGGAUUCUAGUAUGAAAUGAUUUAUUGUGAUUAAAUAUAUUGAUUUUAAAAAGAAUUUUAAAUUUAUUUAAAAAAUAAUAAAUAAAAUAAAACUAAGAAAAGUCUUUUAGAA
Molecule: ribosomal RNA, 558 nt
Filed under: Meloidogyne floridensis
Lineage: Eukaryota; Metazoa; Nematoda; Chromadorea; Rhabditida; Meloidogynidae
Description: partial large subunit ribosomal RNA
Source: RNAcentral